RNAcentral lists this ribosomal RNA (380 nucleotides) under uncultured eukaryote. RNAcentral describes it as "partial 18S ribosomal RNA". It matches the Rfam family "Eukaryotic small subunit ribosomal RNA", at positions 592 to 976 of the family's 1831-position model. The record is from RNAcentral.
CAAUAGCGUAUAUUAAAGUUGUUGCAGUUAAAAGGCUCGUAGUUGGAUUUGUGGCGUACGGUGUGUUCCGGGCACUUGUUGUCUGAGUAACCUGCUGUUGCCAUCCUUGGGUGGAACCUGUGUGGCAUUAGGUUGUCGUGCAGGGGAUGCCCAUCAUUUACUGUGAAAAAAUUAGAGUGUUCAAAGCAGGCUUAUGCCGUUGAAUAUAUUAGCAUGGAAUAAUGAGAUAGGACUUUUUUGCUAUUUUGUUGGUUUGCGCAAGAAGGUAAUGAUUAAUAGGGACAGUUGGGGGUAUUCGUAUUCCAUUGUCAGAGGUGAAAUUCUUGGAUUUUUGGAAGACGAACUACUGCGAAAGCAUUUACCAAGGAUGUUUUCAUUAA